Magnolia sinica is the source of this 430-nucleotide long non-coding RNA. RefSeq lists it as uncharacterized. The transcript has 2 exons. Lineage: Eukaryota; Viridiplantae; Streptophyta; Magnoliopsida; Magnoliales; Magnoliaceae. The record is from RefSeq and is a predicted model, not a curated record.
UAUGCAAUAACCAGCUGUUUCUACUCUGUUUUUAUUUUUUGGUAGCUGGUAGGUCUCCCGUCUUCUAAUUCAUAUUCUUGUAUAGAGUUUGGAUAAGAAAUUUACUAGCCACCCUCACCAUUUGUUGCUAUCCUGUUGUUGCUUGCCCCUUGUGCUUUAACACAAUGGGGAUCCAGGCUGUUCAUCUUGAGGCAUCCCAACCAUAGAUGGACUGUGUGCCUGGCGGAUGAACAAUCUGGAUCACCAUGCAGCACGGCACCAGACAUGGGCAACAAUGGGAGAACAAAAUGGGCCAAUGCCAGCAAACUCCCCGGGACAGGAGCUCAUUUUUUAAUGGCUUUGAGAAUGUGUGUGCGUUGGUAUUAACUAGCAUAUUGAAACAUUGGCUUUAUUUCAUGAGUGGAGCUGUGGAUAUUCAUCCUGGGGAGUU